GUGCCAGCAGCCGCGGUAAUACAGAGGUCUCGAGCGUUGUUCGGAUUUAUUGGGCGUAAAGGGUGCGUAGGCGGUGUGGCAAGUCAAGUGUGAAAUCUCGGAGCUUAACUCUGAAACUGCACUUGUUACUGCCGUGCUAGAGGGUUGUAGAGGAGAUCGGAAUUCACGGUGUAGCAGUGAAAUGCGUAGAUAUCGUGAGGAAGACCAGUUGCGAAAGCGGGUCUCUGGGCAAUUCCUGACGCUGAGGCACGAAGGCUAGGGGAGCAAACGGGAUUAGAUACCCCGGUAGUCC
This 292-nucleotide ribosomal RNA is filed under the name uncultured bacterium. Its description in RNAcentral is "partial 16S ribosomal RNA". It matches the Rfam family "Bacterial small subunit ribosomal RNA", at positions 505 to 796 of the family's 1533-position model. The record is from RNAcentral.